GCGAGCGCCGGGCGGGGUGGGCGGGGAAUGCGGGGGGGGGAAGCGUUGUGCGGAAUUCCGGGGCGUAAAGGGGGGGUAGGGGGCCUGCUAAGUCGGACGGGAAAUCCAUCGGCUCAACCGAGGAACUGCGUCCGAUACUGGUGGGCUUGAAUCCGGGAGAGGGAUGUGGAAUUCCAGGUGUAGCGGUGAAAUGCGUAGAUAUCUGGAGGAACACCGGUGGCGAAGGCGGCAUCCUGGACCGGUAUUGACGCUGAGGCGCGAAAGCUAGGGGAGCAAACGGGAUUAGAUACCCCUGUAGUC
RNAcentral lists this ribosomal RNA (300 nucleotides) under uncultured Thermus sp. Its description in RNAcentral is "partial 16S ribosomal RNA". The stretch from base 52 to 300 matches the Rfam family "Bacterial small subunit ribosomal RNA", at positions 547 to 795 of the family's 1533-position model. The record is from RNAcentral. Lineage: Bacteria; Thermotogati; Deinococcota; Deinococci; Thermales; Thermaceae.